CGGCAACGGAUAUCUCGGCUCUCGCAUCGAUGAAGAACGUAGCGAAAUGCGAUACUUGGUGUGAAUUGCAGAAUCCCGUGAACCAUCGAGUCUUUGAACGCAAGUUGCGCCCGAAGCCAUUUGGUCGAGGGCACGUCUGCCUGGGCGUCACGC
RNAcentral lists this ribosomal RNA (153 nucleotides) under Tamarix androssowii. Its description in RNAcentral is "5.8S ribosomal RNA". It matches the Rfam family "5.8S ribosomal RNA". Rfam says of the family: 5.8S ribosomal RNA (5.8S rRNA) is a component of the large subunit of the eukaryotic ribosome. It is transcribed by RNA polymerase I as part of the 45S precursor that also contains 18S and 28S rRNA. Functionally, it is thought that 5.8S rRNA may be involved in ribosome translocation. RNAcentral also lists the same sequence under 10 other names. The record is from RNAcentral. Lineage: Eukaryota; Viridiplantae; Streptophyta; Magnoliopsida; Caryophyllales; Tamaricaceae.